AUACUCAACCAUUUUCUAAACUUUAUAUGUAAUUAUGCGUGUAGGGCUUCUGUACCUUCAAUUCUUGCUUUUCUGGUUAAUUGAAAGUUUCUGCAAAGUGGAAUAAAGCACUUAGACAAUUGAACUGGAUAUAACUUACACUUGGGUGUUCUUUUUGUUACUUUUGUACCAAUUGUACCCGUUAUCACCACUCAAUAUUGAUUCAAACUUCAAUAUUCCCACCCAAUGGGGUCUAUAAAAGUCAGAUAGUGGUAAUGGUUAGUAACACAUUUCAAUCAAUUCAUACCACGGUGACCAACUAAGAAUUGCUGAAUCAUUUUGAAUGGCUAAUUCAUCUGCUGCAAUCAACAAUGUGAAGGAUCUCUGCCCCCCAAGUAGGAAUUGGAGCAUUAAGGUGCGGGUGAUACGAAUGUGGACUUCUCCAUCAUUUGAUGGAACUGAUACUCCAUCAUCUUUAGAGUUAAUCUUCUUGGACCAACAGGGGGGUAAGAUUCAAGCAUCACUAAGGAAAGGAAUGUAUCAAAGAUGGUCAGGCAAGUUCAUGGAGGGCAUUGUGUACAAAAUAACUACUUGUCACCUGAUUCCCAAUCUAGGUUCAUACCCCUGAGCAUCCAUACAAGAUGAUAUUUACUGGGAAAACGAAGGUUGUGCCUUCAGAAAGUAGCUCAAUCCCCAUGUGGGGGCUAACUCUGAAGACUUAUGAACAAGUUCAUGCUCCGGAUGUCCAAACUGAUUAUUUAGGUUGUUAGUUCAACAUCUAAUUAUCUGUCUUUGUGGUUACGACAGUGUGUGCAUAGGCUCAAAGUUUAUUUUGUUAAUCAAGUGUCAUCCUAUUGAGCAGACAUGGUUGGAUUGGUGUCUGCUGCCUCUACUGAGCGUUCCUACAUGAAGGAAGGGAAGGAGGGGAAAGGUUAAGUUGACUGUAUCCGGUGAAUACGUUGCUGUUAUAAAUGACUACUUAUCAUCUCACUUCGAUGGAAAGCCUGUAGUGGUUGUUGAACUUGCAAAAAUCAAGACAUUUAAGGGUAUUUGUUAUUGUUAUUGUUAUUAUCUCUUAUGUACAAGUUAGAGGUCUACUAAUGCUUGCAAUCAAUAUAUUGCCCAAUUGGUUUUAGUUUUUU
This is an RNA transcript of Lotus japonicus, 1121 nucleotides long. RefSeq lists it as uncharacterized. The record is from RefSeq and is a predicted model, not a curated record. The transcript is spliced from 3 exons. Lineage: Eukaryota; Viridiplantae; Streptophyta; Magnoliopsida; Fabales; Fabaceae.